Molecule: non-coding RNA, 22 nt
Filed under: Arabidopsis thaliana (thale cress)
Lineage: Eukaryota; Viridiplantae; Streptophyta; Magnoliopsida; Brassicales; Brassicaceae
Source: RNAcentral
UGCUUGCCUUUACUUCAUUGCU